UCAAUUUGGUCUUUGGUGAUCCAAGAAGUAUCUCUGCGAACUCCUUUCAGGGCUCAGAAUUCGGAUUGUCCUGUUUGAUGCUUGUUCUUGGAACGGUAAUCUGAGCCUGUGCUUUUCCUUUGAACUUUUGUCUCCAUUCCAUUUCGGGUAUUUUCUGAAUUUUCUACAGCUUUGACUAAUGGCUUCAUGUUUUACUGCAGUGAAGUUUGGAGCGUUCAUGAGUAACUUUGGUUUUUUACGUGGCUCU
RNAcentral lists this long non-coding RNA (247 nucleotides) under Lathyrus oleraceus (garden pea). RNAcentral describes it as "Pisum sativum (pea) long non-coding RNA (PSAT_LNC030892)". The record is from RNAcentral. Lineage: Eukaryota; Viridiplantae; Streptophyta; Magnoliopsida; Fabales; Fabaceae.